ACUCCUACGGGAGGCAGCAGUGGGGAAUAUUGCACAAUGGGGGAACCCAUGACUGCAGCCAUGCCGCGCUGUGUGAAGAAGGCCAAUUCGGGCUUUGGUUAAAGACACUUUUCAGCGAGGAGGAAAGGGUGUGUGCUAAUACCAUACAUUCUUGUGACGUUACUCGCAGAAGAAGACACCGGCGUAACUCCGUGCCAGCAGCCGCGGUAAUACGGAGGGUGCGAGCGUUAAUCGGAAUUACUGGGCGUAAAGCGUGCGCAGGCGGUUUGUUAAGCGAGAUGUGAAAGCCCCGGGCUCAACCUGGAGUUGCAAUUUCUGAAACUGGCAAGACUAGAGUCUUGUAGAGGGGGGUAGAAUUUCAGGUGUAGCGGUGAAAUGCGUAGAGAUCUGAAGGAAUACCGGUGGCGAAGGCGGCCCCCCUGGACAAAGACUGACGCUCAUGCACGAAAGCGU
RNAcentral lists this ribosomal RNA (453 nucleotides) under uncultured bacterium. RNAcentral describes it as "bacterial SSU rRNA". It matches the Rfam family "Bacterial small subunit ribosomal RNA", at positions 335 to 762 of the family's 1533-position model. The record is from RNAcentral.